RNAcentral lists this ribosomal RNA (490 nucleotides) under uncultured bacterium. RNAcentral's name for it is "partial 16S ribosomal RNA". It matches the Rfam family "Bacterial small subunit ribosomal RNA", at positions 30 to 507 of the family's 1533-position model. The record is from RNAcentral.
AUUGAACGCUGGCGGCAGGCCUAACACAUGCAAGUCGAACGGUAACAGGAAGCAGCUUGCUGCUUCGCUGACGAGUGGCGGACGGGUGAGUAAUGUCUGGGAAACUGCCUGAUGGAGGGGGAUAACUACUGGAAACGGUAGCUAAUACCGCAUAACGUCGCAAGACCAAAGAGGGGGACCUUAGGGCCUCUUGCCAUCGGAUGUGCCCAGUUGGGAUUAGCUAGUAGGUGGGGUAACGGCUCACCUAGGCGACGAUCCCUAGCUGGUCUGAGAGGAUGACCAGCCACACUGGAACUGAGACACGGUCCAGACUCCUACGGGAGGCAGCAGUGGGGAAUAUUGCACAAUGGGCGCAAGCCUGAUGCAGCCAUGCCGCGUGUAUGAAGAAGGCCUCCGGGUUGUAAAGUACUUUCAGCGGGGAGGAAGGGAGUAAAGUUAAUACCUUUGCUCAUUGACGUUACCCGCAGAAGAAGCACCGGCUAACUCCGUG